Molecule: long non-coding RNA, 1252 nt
Organism: Physella acuta
Lineage: Eukaryota; Metazoa; Mollusca; Gastropoda; Physidae
Source: RefSeq, a predicted model, not a curated record
AAAAACAACAUGGUGAUGCUUAUGAUCACAAAAUGCACAUCCUAUUGAAACUGUUCUUGAGCUGGCUGGUUUUAGAUAUAACUCAGUUUCUGGGUUGGACUUUCAUCAACAACGUGCUGUUUGGGGCGAUUGUAAACACUCUAGUAACGCCGGUUGUCCUCUACGGGUUUGGCUUUGAAAAAGCUGGUAUCACCCGGGGCAGUGUCGCAGCUAGCCUUAGCUCAGCCGCCCACAAGUACAAGUUUGGUAGAUCGUAUGUGGCACUACUGCAAUCUAUAGGCACGUCUGGAAUUGGUUACCAAACGCCAUUAUUUGGUGCCUUAGUUGGUGCUAAUGUGUAUUCUAUCCGACAAUACUUCGGAACUUAGGCAUUGCCUAUCUUUUCUGAGAUCACACUUGGCCCACACCAUCCAGCUUCAUCAAUUCAUCACGUGACGUCAUUUGACCAGCACGUCAACACAUCAUCCUGGCUCAUUAGGUGACGUCAUUUGACCAGCACGUUCCUCAUCAUCCAGGCUAAUCAAUUCAUCACGUGACGUCAUUUGACCAGCACGUCCACACAUCAUCCAGGCUCAUUAAGUGACGUCAUUUGACCAGCACGUCUCUCAUAAUCCAGGCUCAUCAAUUCAUCAGGUGACGUCAUUUGACUUUCCUGCACCAUUCAGGAUCAUUAGGCGACGUCAUUUGACCAGCACGUCCGCAAAUCCUCCAGGCUAAUCAAUUCAUCAGGUGACGUCAUUUGACCAGCACGUGUCUCACCAUCCAGGCUAAUUAGGUGACGUCAUUUGACCAGAACUUUCCUGCACCAUCCAGGCUAAUUAGGUGACGUCAUUUGACCAGCACGUUCCUGCACCAUUCAGGCUCAUUAGGUGACGUCAUUUGACCAGCACGUCCGCAAAUCCUCCAGGCUAAUCAAUUCAUCAGGUGACGUCAUUUGACCAGCACGUCUCUCAUUAUCCAGGCUCAUCAAUUCAUCAGGUGACGUCAUUUGACCAGCACGUAUCUCACCAUCCAGGCUAAUUAGGUGACGUUAUUUGACCAUCCAGUUUCAAGCUAACAUCAUCGUCUAUUAGUUUUAUAUACAUGUUAUCCAGUACUAUAAUGCGGUUUUGUUAAUGAGAUUCCAUAAUUUAAGUAAUGAAUUUGUGAAUAUUUUUUUAAACGAAAGAUUCAACUUUUUAAUAGCUAAUAUUAUCCAUCACGUCUAGUUGCUUUAAGCUUCUAUAAUUUUACAAUUUCUUCCUCAAAACUA